This is a long non-coding RNA of Sebastes umbrosus (honeycomb rockfish), 706 nucleotides long. RefSeq lists it as uncharacterized. Lineage: Eukaryota; Metazoa; Chordata; Actinopteri; Perciformes; Sebastidae. The record is from RefSeq and is a predicted model, not a curated record. The transcript is spliced from 2 exons.
AAACAGCCGUUGUAAAAAAAAAAAAAAAGCAGCCGUUGAGCAAAAAGGGGGCGGUUGAGUUAACGUUUAUAACCGCCGUCAGAUCAACAGCCGUUACUACACACACUGACACACACACACACAGCCCGAAAGAAGAAAAAAAGGGAAGCAGUGGAUGUCUUGGAAAUAGAUUUCAACCCAGCCACACAUUGCCUGCACAGGAAGAGUAGGAGGACCUUUCGCACAAUCGCACUUUGGAGUCACGCAUCAAUAUUUUGUCAUCAGAUGUUUCCCCAGUGUAAACACCAAUUUUUUUUCUAGACUUGUCAUUACAGAGUUGCAGUUCAGCCUUAGGACAGGGUGGACGAGACGAAGCAAGUUGUAGGCAGCUCUCUGAAAACGCUUGCUCGGCAGGUAGAGAUUAGGUAGAGAUUUAAAGGGACGGGAUGGGAGACAUGGGACGGGGCAGAAAUGUCCUUAAAAUCUCUGUCCUGCCAACACACGACAUGCCUAGAUCUGAUCCUGUCCACAACUUUACUGAAACUAAUUGGCUAAUAAAAAUGUAGGCCUGUGGGAGUACAAAAUGUUUCACAAACAAAAGAUUGAUUGAGACCACUAGAAGAGCAAUAGUAGAUGGUAUUGAUGACGGAACAAAAGCAUGUUGACUUUGAUGAAAGGGCCCACAGCAGGGGUUUAUUGAAAGAAGCAGAUAAACUGUUACCACAUG